CAGCAGCCGCGGGAAUACGAAGGGGGCUAGCGUUGCUCGGAAUUACUGGGCGUAAAGGGAGCGUAGGCGGGUCGUUUAGUCAGAGGUGAAAUCCCGGGGCUCAACCUCGGAACUGCCUUUGAUACUGGCGACCUUGAGUAUGGGAGAGGUGAGUGGAACUCCGAGUGUAGAGGUGAAAUUCGUAGAUAUUCGGAAGAACACCAGUGGCGAAGGCGACUCACUGGCCCAUUACUGACGCUGAGGAGCGAAAGCGUGGGGAGCGAACAGGAUUAGAUACCCGCGUAGUCCCUGUCUCUUAUAC
Molecule: ribosomal RNA, 301 nt
Filed under: uncultured bacterium
Lineage: Bacteria
Description: partial 16S ribosomal RNA
Rfam family: Bacterial small subunit ribosomal RNA
Source: RNAcentral